UACGAAGGGGGCUAGCGUUGUUCGGAAUCACUGGGCGUAAAGGGCGCGUAGGCGGCCGAUCAAGUCGGGGGUGAAAGCCUGUGGCUCAACCACAGAAUUGCCUUCGAUACUGGUUGGCUUGAGACCGGAAGAGGUAAGUGGAACUGCGAGUGUAGAGGUGAAAUUCGUAGAUAUUCGCAAGAACACCAGUGGCGAAGGCGGCUUACUGGUCCGGUUCUGACGCUGAGGCGCGAAAGCGUGGGGAGCAACAGG
RNAcentral lists this ribosomal RNA (252 nucleotides) under uncultured bacterium. RNAcentral describes it as "partial 16S ribosomal RNA". It matches the Rfam family "Bacterial small subunit ribosomal RNA", at positions 524 to 775 of the family's 1533-position model. The record is from RNAcentral.